UGGAGAGUUUGAUCCUGGCUCAGAUUGAACGCUGGCGGCAUGCCUUACACAUGCAAGUCGAACGGUAACAGGUCUUCGGAUGCUGACGAGUGGCGAACGGGUGAGUAAUACAUCGGAACGUGCCUAGUAGUGGGGGAUAACUACUCGAAAGAGUGGCUAAUACCGCAUGAGAUCUACGGAUGAAAGCAGGGGAUCGCAAGACCUUGUGCUACUAGAGCGGCUGAUGGCAGAUUAGGUAGUUGGUGGGAUAAAAGCUUACCAAGCCGACGAUCUGUAGCUGGUCUGAGAGGACGAUCAGCCACACUGGGACUGAGACACGGCCCAGACUCCUACGGGAGGCAGCAGUGGGGAAUUUUGGACAAUGGGCGAAAGCCUGAUCCAGCAAUGCCGCGUGCAGGAUGAAGGCCUUCGGGUUGUAAACUGCUUUUGUACGGAACGAAAAGCUUUGGGUUAAUACCCUGGAGUCAUGACGGUACCGUAAGAAUAAGCACCGGCUAACUACGUGCCAGCAGCCGCGGUA
RNAcentral lists this ribosomal RNA (520 nucleotides) under Comamonas sp. CW6. RNAcentral describes it as "bacterial SSU rRNA". It matches the Rfam family "Bacterial small subunit ribosomal RNA", at positions 1 to 522 of the family's 1533-position model. Lineage: Bacteria; Pseudomonadati; Pseudomonadota; Betaproteobacteria; Burkholderiales; Comamonadaceae. The record is from RNAcentral.